Non-coding RNA from Podospora didyma, 84 nucleotides. The record is from the annotation of a GenBank genome assembly. Lineage: Eukaryota; Fungi; Ascomycota; Sordariomycetes; Sordariales; Podosporaceae.
GCCGGCGUGGCGCAAUUGGUUAGCGCGUCAGACUUUUAUAUCAAAGGUAUCUGAAUGUUGCGAGUUCGAGUCUCGCCGUUGGCG